GUACUCGCUUUGGCACUACAUAUACUAAAGCGGGAAGAAUAUAGAGAUUAGCAUGGCCCCUACGCAAGGAUGACAAGUAAAAUGAUGGUUUUUACCAAAGAUGU
Small nuclear RNA from Loxodonta africana (African savanna elephant), 104 nucleotides. The record is from Ensembl. Lineage: Eukaryota; Metazoa; Chordata; Mammalia; Proboscidea; Elephantidae.